AGGUAUCGUGUACACCGCGGCUUUCGCGCGCCGUCCGCACCCAGCCGAUGACCGCUCGCUAGGGUUUGGUCGCC
Molecule: non-coding RNA, 74 nt
Organism: Xanthomonas fragariae
Lineage: Bacteria; Pseudomonadati; Pseudomonadota; Gammaproteobacteria; Lysobacterales; Lysobacteraceae
Source: Rfam